RNAcentral lists this ribosomal RNA (2788 nucleotides) under seawater metagenome. RNAcentral describes it as "bacterial LSU rRNA". It matches the Rfam family "Bacterial large subunit ribosomal RNA". The record is from RNAcentral.
AGAGUGUAUGGGGAAUGCCUAGGCUCUCAGAGACUACGAAAGACGUGAUAAGCUGCGAAAAGCUGCGGGGAGGUGCAAAUAACCUUUGAUCCGUGGAUGUCUGAAUGGGGAAACCCACAUGGUUGAAGACCAUGUACCUAGCAAUAGGAGAAAACCCAGGGAACUGAAACAUCUAAGUACCUGGAGGAAAAUAAAACAAUAGUGAUUCCGCAAGUAGUGGCGAGCGAACGCGGAUCAGCCCUAAAGCUGUUAUAUGACAAGUAGAAUGUAUUGGAAAGUACAACCGAAGAAGGUGAUAGUCCUGUAUACGGAUGUUAUAUAAUGGUUAUUCGAGUAAGGCGAAGCCGGUGAAACUUUGUCCGAAGAUAGCAGCACCAUCUGCUAAGGCUAAAUACUCCUGAGAGACCGAUAGUGAACCAGUACUGUGAAGGAAAGGUGAAAAGAACCCCAAGAAGGGGAGUAAAAAGAACCUGAAACCAUACACUUACAAGCGGUCGGAGCCCAUUUAUUGGGUGACGGCGUGCCUUUUGCAUAAUGAGCCUACGAGUUAGUCGUAUGUGGCAAGUAUAAGUUCUUAAGGAACGAAAGCGAAGCGAAAGCGAGUCUGAAUAGGGCGACAUAGCCACGUGCGCUAGACGCGAAACCUGGUGAUCUACCCAUGAGCAGGUUGAAGCAAGGAUAGUAUCCUUGUGGAGGACCGAACCAAUAUAUGUUGAAAAAUGUUUGGAUGACUUGUGGGUAGGGGUGAAAGGCCAAUCAAACCAGGAGAUAGCUCGUACUCCCCGAAAUGCAUUUAGGUGCAGCGUUGAGUUAGAGUAUCAUGGAGGUAGAGCUACCAAUAGGGCUAGGGGGCUUCACCGCCUACCAACCCCUGAUGAACUCCGAAUGCCAUGAUAUGUUUCUCAGCAGUGAGGCUAUGGGUGCUAAGGUCCGUAGCCAAGAGGGAAACAACCCAGACCAUCAGCUAAGGUCCCUAAAUUUCAGUUAAGUUGAAUGAACGAGGUGGGAAUGCUAAGACAGCUAGGAUGUUGGCUUGGAAGCAGCCAUUCAUUUAAAGAGUGCGUAACAGCUCACUAGUCGAGCGUUCCUGCGCGGAAAAUAAUCGGGCAUCAAACUGAAUACCGAAGCUAUGGAUUUGCAAUUUAUUGCAAGUGGUAGGGGAGCAUUGUAGUGGCGCUGAAGGUUAACUGUGAGGUUAAUUGGAGCAGCUACAAAAGCAAAUGUAGGCAUGAGUAACGAUAAAAGGGGUGAGAGACCCCUUCGCCGAAAGACUAAGGUUUCCUCGAUCUAUGCUAAUCAGAUCAGGGUUAGUCGGGACCUAAGGAGUAGCCGAAAGGCGAAUCCGAUGGCAAACGGGUUAAUAUUCCCGUACCUACUAUAGAAUAAAAGUGACGGCGCUUACGGCGUAUCGCGUACUGACGGAAUAGUACGUUGAAGGCUUCGGCCGAUAGUACAUGGACUCCUCCGGGAAGAAAUGAUAGUGUACUUAGUAAGCGUCCAAGAAAUAGCGACUAUAGCAGCCCGUACCGCAAACCGACACAGGUAGUCGAGAAGAGUAUUCUCAGGCGCUCGAGUGAUUCGUGGCUAAGGAACUAGGCAAAAUGGUCUCGUAACUUCGGGAGAAGAGACGCUCUAAUUAAAUUUGGAGCCGCAGUGAAGAGGCCCAGGCGACUGUUUAGCAAAAACACAGGACUCUGCAAACUCGAAAGAUGAAGUAUAGGGUCUGACACCUGCCCGGUGCUGGAAGGUUAAGGAAGGGGCUUAGCGCUUGCGCGAAGGUCUUAACUGAAGCCCCAGUAAACGGCGGCCGUAACUAUAACGGUCCUAAGGUAGCGAAAUUCCUUGUCGGGUAAGUUCCGACCUGCACGAAUGGUGUAACGAUCUGGGCACUGUCUCAGCCACGAGCUCGGUGAAAUUGAAGUAUCGGUGAAGAUGCCGAUUACCCGCAACGGGACGAAAAGACCCCGUGCACCUUUACUACAGCUUCACAUUGUGCUUGAAUAUAAGAUGUGUAGGAUAGGUGGGAGACUAUGAAGGUGUAUCGCUAGAUAUGCUGGAGUCAUCGUUGAAAUACCACCCUUCUUAUAUUUAGGUUCUAAUCUAUGAAAAUGGAGACAUUGUGUGGUGGGUAGUUUGACUGGGGUGGUCGCCUCCAAAAGAGUAACGGAGGCUUGCAAAGGUACCCUCAGCAUGGUUGGUAAUCAUGCAAAGAGCAUAUUAGUAUAAGGGUGCUUGACUGAGAGACCGACGGGUCGAACAGGUAGGAAACUAGGCUAAAGUGAUCCGGUAGUUCCGCAUGGAAGGGCUAUCGCUCAAAGGAUAAAAGGUACGCCGGGGAUAACAGGCUGAUCUCCCCCAAGAGCUCAUAUCGACGGGGGGGUUUGGCACCUCGAUGUCGGCUCGUCACAUCCUGGGGCUGGAGAAGGUCCCAAGGGUUGGGCUGUUCGCCCAUUAAAGUGGCACGCGAGCUGGGUUCAGAACGUCGCAAGACAGUUCGGUCUCUAUCUGUUGUGGGCGUAGGAAUAUUGAAGAGGUCUGACACUAGUACGAGAGGACCGUGUUGGACGAACCUCUAGUGUACCAGUUGUGCCGCCAGGUGCAUUGCUGGGUAGCUAUGUUCGGUCAGGAUAAGCGCUGAAAGCAUCUAAGCGCGAAGCCAUCUCUGAGAUGAAUAUUCCAUGGAAUUUAUUCCAAGAGGGUCGUAGAAGAUGACUACGUAGAUAGGCUAUAGGUGGAAGUGCAGCGAUGUAUGGAGCCGAGUAGUACUAAUUACCCGAAUGCUUCCUUU